UAUCAAUGAUAUGGACAUACACUCAUCAGCUCCUUGAAUCACUCUCAUGCUUCGAAGAAUAAUUCAUUGUCUGUCUGCCUAAUGUAGGUAAUCUUGUUCCUAAGUUG
Vicia villosa (hairy vetch) is the source of this 107-nucleotide small nucleolar RNA. The record is from RefSeq and is a predicted model, not a curated record. Lineage: Eukaryota; Viridiplantae; Streptophyta; Magnoliopsida; Fabales; Fabaceae.